Molecule: long non-coding RNA, 111 nt
Organism: Cucurbita moschata (crookneck pumpkin)
Lineage: Eukaryota; Viridiplantae; Streptophyta; Magnoliopsida; Cucurbitales; Cucurbitaceae
Exons: 3
Source: RefSeq, a predicted model, not a curated record
AGUCAAAAGUCAAGAUCGACUCAAGUGUUGUAUAAAUGGUGUACUUUGUUCGAAUACUCUAGAGAAUGAGUCGAGACUCGAUUAAUGGGAGGCUGUUCGAGGGCUCCAUAG